Molecule: long non-coding RNA, 4452 nt
Organism: Ctenopharyngodon idella (grass carp)
Lineage: Eukaryota; Metazoa; Chordata; Actinopteri; Cypriniformes; Xenocyprididae
Exons: 11
Source: RefSeq, a predicted model, not a curated record
GCACUUCUGAACCGUAAUAAAUCAAUGUGACUGUUUAGAUGAGCAGGCUAUAGGGAGAGGGGCAAUACUUUUUAGCACAUUUUUAGGGGUUUUGUGCAAUAUAUUUGAAUCGUAAUUAAUGUGAUUAACUUGACUUGUGUACUGUUGUGGAUGUAUUUGCUGUUUUGUGAUUGGAAUGUGAAUGUUGAUGUGUUGAUGUUGUUGAUGAAUUGAUUGACAAUGGUGGUCCAUGAUUGUCCAAGACAAAUUUCUUCACCUGAAGACAAUAAAGGCUUAUCUUAAUCUUAAUCUUUCUGGGCCCUCCUCACAUGAGUGCCCUGGGUACUCAGUCCCCUUUCUACCCCCAGUCCGACACCCCUGCACUGUAAAAUAAAUUAUUUAAAUUAAAUUAAACAUUUGAGUUAAUACAAUGAAGGAAAUUGGUUUAAUAAAUAGAAACUCAAUAUAUUAUUAUAUCUGAACCACAUACAUUUAAAAAAUGUUGUGAUAAAUCAUAAAAAUAGCACAAUGUGGCAUGUUUCAUAACAAAUAAAACACAAUUACGCAAUAUGUUUACAAAAUCUUUUAAUUAUAUUUGAAUAAAGGGUGAUGUCGAUUCUCAAAAAUGUUCAUUUAACUCAUUUAAUGAACUUAAAAUUUUAAGGCAACCAGUUACCUUACUUUUUAAAUAUUUUUUUACAGUCUGGCAAUAGAUGGGACCAAGCCCAAAUAUGUGUGAAAUCAUUUCACAUUUCACUGAAGUGUUUAAAAUCAAUUUCACCCUCCUCCAAAUAUCAGCCUUUUUGAAUUUUUUUUGUGGAAAAGGCGGUUGGGUACUCUUUCCGGUUACAGCAAGUUGAUUGUGAUAUCCCUCCCCUGUGAAAAACAGUUCUACCUUAAUGGUGAUAAUAAAAAAUCGGGACUGUGUCAAGUAGACAUUGUUUUGAAUAAAUUUUAAAACUUUUAUAACAUGGUACUGAGUUUUUUUUUUUAUUGAUCAAACAUGCUCGGAAUACAAGUUUCUCCAGUUCUGUGGCGGACGGAUAUGUGACUGCAGUCCGCACCUGGAACUUAGGCUGUUUCGCACUUUCCUGUGUUGCACUUGCCGUCCCCAUCAAGGAGUUUGUAAGUAUUGUAAUAUUGGUAAUACUAAUAGUGAGUGAUUGCUGAGAGGAGCUGCAGUAAGUCGGCUGUCAAGGCUGUUUUAUUCAAAAACAUCGGAUGAAGUGAUUAUUUUCUCUUUAAUGCUGACGGUGCUGAGUAAUUAGUCAUAACAACAACAACAACAAAAAAAAAGAUGAUAACUGAUGAUUUUUUUCUGUGAGUCCAAUAUUUUAGCGAUGAUGUUACCUAGCGUGUUUGCUAGCUUGUUUACCAUAGCUUGUUGGAUACUCAGUCACCCACACCAACAACAACUAACAUUGUGAUAAGCAUAUGUGAACUGUAAUAAGGCUAAUAGAUUUACUGUUGUGUGUUGGGUUAUGCUCAGUGUGUAUUCAUCGUAUUUUGGUGACUUGGUUGUAAACAACUUCAAAAAAAAAAAAAAAAAAAAAAAGAUUUUGAAGAAGAAUAUUUAGGCCAAUUUAGUCAGUUUUUUCAUUGAACCAAAGAGAAACAAUGAGCAUAAUGGCAGUCUCCAUGCUACACUAAUAAUAGUAGGUUUUCUUCUGUGUAAUAUAACAUAUCCUUUAUAAGUAAAAUUUUGGCUGUAUUAUUUGCGUCCCCUUCAAAAAUUGCUCCUAAGAAAUUUUAUGUUUAUUGUCCCCCCCUACUGUCAGAUGAAAUUUAUGUCCCUGGUUAGCUGUCUGAACACCAGAGACAAACGGUUUUAUCACCCGUUAAAGACAAAAAAGUCAUCGAAUUUUAGCUUAAAGUGUCAGACUCACAUUAGCUGCUUGUAUAGCAUCCACGCUAACAUGGUUCAAAGACCAAGAUACUUUGUUCAAAGACCAAAAUCAGGCUAUGUAUAAAAUUAAAUGAAAUAACUGAAAUGUGACCCAUGCUAAUUAAUUCCUCCCCUCCUUUCUCUCUUCUCUCUUUUAUCUUUUAUCAGAAUCCCUCAUUCAUCAAAGCAGCUACCAAGAGAAAUGGCUUAUUUAAGAAUGUGGAGAAAACGUAAAGCAGAUAUCAAUGAACUUCUCCAGUCUGAAAACGACAAUGCGGUGACAAUCGACAACGCAGUCAUGACAAAUGACAGAGAGGAAACAACCAAUGAUGAUGGUGGAAGCAAUACUGAUGACCACAGCACCAUUGUGACCACUGAUGGUUCAGACUUUGACACCGACAUCGGAAUGUUUGACUCAGAUGUGGAGAUUUUGAAUCCCGAACCAGAGGCCCAAGUUAGAAACCUAGGCAAUGACUUGCGAGAGUGGAGUACAAGACACCAAAUUACUAAUAGGUCCCUAAAUGAAUUAUUGCAAAUGCUAAGGGAUCAUGGACAUGUAGUCCCCAAAGAUUCACGCACAUUACUAGCCACUCCUCAAGUCAUUGACAGCCAUUCAAAAUGCAAUGGACAGUAUGUAUACAAUGGCUUGGAGGGGGGCAUUUCCAGUAUACUGUGUCAAAAUGAUGCUUUCAGGUGACAACACAGUACGGUCAGUUUGGAUGUCAACAUUUAUGGACUACCAAUCUUUAAAAGUAGCAAAAUCCAGUUCUGGCCAAUACUGGUGAAAUUUAACAAUUUCAGUCCAUUUAUUGUGGCAUUAUACUGUGGGGAAAGCAAGCCUGAGCCCCUUGAUGAGUAUCUCCAUGACUUUUUGGAGGAGUUCAAUAAUCUCCAACAGAAUGGUCUGGUGAUUCGUGACAAAAAGUAUGCAGUAAAUAUUCAUACCUUUGUUUGUGAUGCACCGGCAAGAGCAUAUUUAAAAUGCAUUAAAGGUCAUACUGCAUAUGACAGUUGUGAGAGGUGCCAAGUGAAAGGCCAGUAUGUUGAAAGAAGAGUCGUCUUCAAUCAGCAGACAUCCACUUUGCGCACAGAUGAAGCAUUUAGUCAGAUAGAGUAUUCCCGCCAUCAAAAUGGGUCUAGCCCUUUAAUAGCUGCUGGGAUUCUCUGUGUCAGUGCCUUUGUGUUAGACUAUAUGCAUACGAUUUGCUUGGGUGUUGUUAGGUGGCUGCUGGUGUAUCUGACUAGAGGCCCAAAACUGUGUAGGCUUUCUGUGAGACAGAAAAUUGAAAUCUCACAAAAACUGAACAUGCUACGAGGCCAUAUGCCCAGCGAGUUUGCGCGACAGCCCCGUGGCCUUAAGGAUUCAAAGGAUCUGACCUGUCUGAGGCGACUGCUGAGGGGGAGGAUAAAGAAGAGAGGAAAGGAGAUGCCAGUCCCGAAAUUCCAGUCUUUCCCACCCCACCAAUCAAAAUGUCAAAGAAUGGUUCACCCAGGUCUGUGGGCCAGGAAAAGUUAACUAGUUGUACAUCCAGGACUGUGGACCGCGACAGUUCAACUAGUGGUUCGUCAAGGUCCAGGUCCAGGUCCAGGUCCGUGGGCCGGGACAGUCCAAGUAGUUGUUCCUCCAGGUCUGUGAGCCGGGACAGUUCAAGUAGUCGUGUACCCAGGUCUCAGGCUGUGGAGAGCAGGUCCAUAGAUGGUCUUUCACAUGCAAGGUCCAUUUCCAAUAGGGAUGUGCCAACCACAUUCCCGCUGUCAGAAGCAAAGUUCCAGAAAAUCGUACUUACAAAGCUGGUGACUCUCACUGAUGAAGUCAGAAAACUGCAGAGGAGCGGACCUCAAUCUGGAAUUGAAAUAAAGAAGAUGGACACCUUGGAAGAGUUCCAGAGGGAGGAGGCUUCUCUUCUGAAACCACACAAAUUUGAAACCUUGGUUUGUCAGCUGGCAAGAGUGGGGGGAGAGAUGUUAAGGACUGUACGCACAAAGUGAUGGACAGGUAUUUAUUUACACAUUUACUUAACAGACAUAGGUCUUUAGACAUUUGACCAGAACAAUUGAUCAUGUUAGUUCAGCUCUGCUUUGGUUUUCUUGUGUCCCCAGUUUGUUUUCAUUUGGUGGUUGACAGAGUUUAGUUGAUGGUUUAAGUAAGGAGCAGGACUACGCUUGGCGAUAUGGAUAAAAAAAAUCAUAUCGGUGUUUUUUGGCUCAAUGGUGAUAAAAUAUAAAACUGUAUAUCGUUUUUUUUUUUAAUGAAAAUGGAUAAAUAUGUAGUUGUAAGUCAAAGCCACGUGUGAGAUAUCAUACGCACUAUGAAAUCCCGAUAUGGAUUUUUUUGAGCCGAUGCCGAUUUAAAGGGACUCAGAAAUGCCGAUUACCGAUUAAUCGGCCGAUGUUUACUUUUUUAUUUAUAAAGAAGUGUGUAAAUGUUGUUCAUAUGCAGGAUGCACAAUUAAUGCAUAAAAGGGCUGUACUCUGUUUUUAAACCAUAAUAAUAGCCAUUUAUUUUGUACAGGUUGACAACAAGGCGCUGGCCUUUAGGUUUACAUUCCCCUCGCUAUUUUCUUGAUAUCAAGUCAACCCCAAAACAC